AAUUCCAGAGACCAUUUGGAACCUUGUUUUCUUCAUCAGUGAAAAGGAAAUAAUACCCUUGUGUGGCUCCCCCAGAGGGCCGUCAUGAAAACCAGAUGAGGUAUUGGAUACGGAGGUGCCUCACAAGAUACAUGGGAGCUCCUCAUUGGUGAGGUAUAUAUUCUGAAGAGUCUGGUCCUCCUUUAAUGGCAUGAAGACAAUGGCUGAUGUGGGGAGGGACCCUUGCAAAGGAGCAGAGUGUAUUUUACUAGAAUGAGAGUUCCCAUCAAUCACCUAAACCAGUAGGAGAUCACAGUCCCAGGAACAGGAUGACAGAGAAUGGGAUUUUCCCCCAAGUAGCUCUACAGACCCAUAAGCCAUCAGCCAGCGUGAUGUGGAAAACAGGGACAGCCGUGGGUGAAAGACAAGAAGGAAGGACAGUGUCAGCAAAGGUCAGGGUGUCGCACAUCAGUCACCGUGACAGCUGCCGAGGCUCAGAGGGCUACAGAGCAUGAUGAGGACGGCCACUGGAUUGGAUUCGGACACAUUCCCGAGGCUUUGCAUCACAUGCCCAGGAUGGUGGUCUUUGCUCAUCUAAGCUCAUCCUCCUACUCAGCCUCCCCGAACGUGUGCUUUCCAGGCUGCCGUAUCUGCUUUCCUCCCAGAAAGGAUUACUCAUCUGCACCCCCGCAGCCCUGCCAUCAACACCAGGAUUGCUUCUGCCUCCCCUCUGGACCACGGGUUAUGAAACACAGAAGCUCCACACGCAGAUUCCCUGGAAAGUGGACAGGGCUUGUAUAGCAUGUGCCUCACAUCCCAGUGUAUCUAACACUUCAUAUCUCAUUUUGAGAGAGAACUAUGCAGCUUGCUCUUUAGGAUAAUUAAUCCUGGAAAGGUGUUAAACAAGCAUUGGAUAUAUGAAGACAAAGAUUAUAAACUCCACAACGACAAAAACCAUGAAAGUUUUGCUCUUCACUGAUUCCUAGCCUGCAAUAUGGUUGGAAGAUGGGAACACUCAUCGCCAUGAAGUUGCCUUGAUGAUAGAAGGUCACAGGUACAAGUCAUGCCGAUAGAGUCUGGAUUCCUAAUGAUGGUGGAUAUACCAUACCAGCUCUCAAUGUAAUUUCAAGCUCAAUCUGAACUUCUUUUACAGAGAGAGAGAGAGAGAGAAUGAAAUAAAUGUCUACCUUUUU
Canis lupus familiaris (dog) is the source of this 1172-nucleotide long non-coding RNA. RefSeq lists it as uncharacterized. The record is from RefSeq and is a predicted model, not a curated record. The transcript is spliced from 3 exons. Lineage: Eukaryota; Metazoa; Chordata; Mammalia; Carnivora; Canidae.